Molecule: small nuclear RNA, 288 nt
Filed under: Jaculus jaculus (lesser Egyptian jerboa)
Lineage: Eukaryota; Metazoa; Chordata; Mammalia; Rodentia; Dipodidae
Description: 7SK RNA (ENSJJAG00000009252.1)
Rfam family: 7SK RNA
About the family: 7SK was discovered as an abundant small nuclear RNA in the mid-70s but a possible function has only recently been suggested. Two independent studies have found that 7SK RNA binds the CDK9/cyclin T complex (known as elongation factor P-TEFb).
Source: Rfam by way of RNAcentral
GGAUGUGGGGGCAAUCUGGCUGUGACAUCUGUCACCCCGUUGAUCGCCAGGGUUGGUUCAGCUGAUCUGGCUGGUUAGGCGGGUGUCCCCUUCCUCCCUCACCACCCAUGGUGUCCCUCCCAAAGCUGCGUGAAUACAGGAGGACCAGUCUUGGGUCAAGGGUAUACAAAUAGCUGUGCUCCCCUGCUAGAACCUCCAAAAUAGCUCGCAAAGGGAAGUUUUAACAGUAGCAUGGCAGAGCAGAGGCUGGGUCUCACAUCUUGUCACAUCAGCUGAAAGAUGUCAGCA